This 558-nucleotide ribosomal RNA is filed under the name uncultured archaeon. RNAcentral describes it as "bacterial SSU rRNA". It matches the Rfam family "Archaeal small subunit ribosomal RNA", at positions 322 to 882 of the family's 1478-position model. The record is from RNAcentral.
AUUACGGGGUGCAAGGCGCGAAAACUUUACAAUGCUGGCAACAGCGAUAAGGGAACCUCGAGUGCCAGGUUACAAAUCUGGCUGUCGAGAAGCCUAAAAAGCAUUUCAUAGCAAGGGCCGGGCAAGACCGGUGCCAGCCGCCGCGGUAACACCGGCGGCUCGAGUGGUAACCGUUAUUAUUGGGUCUAAAGGGUCUGUAGCCGGCCGGAUAAGUCUCUUGAGAAAUCUGGCAGCUUAACUGUCAGGCUUUCAGGAGAUACUGUCUGGCUCGAGGCCGGGAGAGGUGAGAGGUACUUCAGGGGUAGGGGUGAAAUCUUGUAAUCCUUGAAGGACCACCAGUGGCGAAGGCGUCUCACCAGAACGGACCUGACGGCAAGGGACGAAAGCUAGGGGCACGAACCGGAUUAGAUACCCGGGUAGUCCUAGCCGUAAACGAUACUCGCUAGGUGUCGGCCACGGUGCGACCGUUGUCGGUGCCGUAGGGAAGCCGUGAAGCGAGCCACCUGGGAAGUACGGCCGCAAGGCUGAAACUUAAAGGAAUUGGCGGGGGAGCACAAU